Molecule: ribosomal RNA, 465 nt
Filed under: Vreelandella stevensii
Lineage: Bacteria; Pseudomonadati; Pseudomonadota; Gammaproteobacteria; Oceanospirillales; Halomonadaceae
Description: partial 16S ribosomal RNA
Rfam family: Bacterial small subunit ribosomal RNA
Source: RNAcentral
CCUACGGGAGGCUGCAGUAGGGAAUAUUGGACAAUGGGGGGAACCCUGAUCCAGCCAUGCCGCGUGUGUGAAGAAGGCCCUCGGGUUGUAAAGCACUUUCAGUGAGGAAGAACGCCUGGUGGUUAAUACCCAUCAGGAAAGACAUCACUCACAGAAGAAGCACCGGCUAACUCCGUGCCAGCAGCCGCGGUAAUACGGAGGGUGCGAGCGUUAAUCGGAAUUACUGGGCGUAAAGCGCGCGUAGGUGGCUUGAUAAGCCGGUUGUGAAAGCCCCGGGCUCAACCUGGGAACGGCAUCCGGAACUGUCAAGCUAGAGUGCAGGAGAGGAAGGUAGAAUUCCCGGUGUAGCGGUGAAAUGCGUAGAGAUCGGGAGGAAUACCAGUGGCGAAGGCGGCCUUCUGGACUGACACUGACACUGAGGUGCGAAAGCGUGGGUAGCAAACAGGAUUAGAUACCCCGGUAGUC